Molecule: transfer RNA, 75 nt
Filed under: Escherichia coli
Lineage: Bacteria; Pseudomonadati; Pseudomonadota; Gammaproteobacteria; Enterobacterales; Enterobacteriaceae
Description: tRNA-Thr
Rfam family: tRNA
About the family: Transfer RNA (tRNA) molecules are approximately 80 nucleotides in length. Their secondary structure includes four short double-helical elements and three loops (D, anti-codon, and T loops). Further hydrogen bonds mediate the characteristic L-shaped molecular structure. tRNAs have two regions of fundamental functional importance: the anti-codon, which is responsible for specific mRNA codon recognition, and the 3' end, to which the tRNAs corresponding amino acid is attached (by aminoacyl-tRNA synthetases). tRNAs cope with the degeneracy of the genetic code in two manners: having more than one tRNA (with a specific anti-codon) for a particular amino acid; and 'wobble' base-pairing, i.e. permitting non-standard base-pairing at the 3rd anti-codon position.
Source: RNAcentral
GCCGACUUAGCUCAGUAGGUAGAGCAACUGACUUGUAAUCAGUAAGUCACAGUUCGAUUCCGGUAGUCGGCACCA